CAGCAGCCACGGUAAUACGUAGGUGGCAAGCGUUGUCCGGAUUUAUUGGGCGUAAAGCGAGCGCAGGCGGUUUCUUAAGUCUGAUGUGAAAGCCCCCGGCUCAACCGGGGAGGGUCAUUGGAAACUGGGAGACUUGAGUGCAGAAGAGGAGAGUGGAAUUCCAUGUGUAGCGGUGAAAUGCGUAGAUAUAUGGAGGAACACCAGUGGCGAAGGCGGCUCUCUGGUCUGUAACUGACGCUGAGGCUCGAAAGCGUGGGGAGCGAACAGGAUUAGAUACCCCCGUAGUCCCUGUCUCUUAUAC
RNAcentral lists this ribosomal RNA (301 nucleotides) under uncultured bacterium. RNAcentral's name for it is "partial 16S ribosomal RNA". It matches the Rfam family "Bacterial small subunit ribosomal RNA", at positions 509 to 807 of the family's 1533-position model. The record is from RNAcentral.